Molecule: non-coding RNA, 114 nt
Organism: Peromyscus maniculatus bairdii (prairie deer mouse)
Lineage: Eukaryota; Metazoa; Chordata; Mammalia; Rodentia; Cricetidae
Source: RefSeq, a predicted model, not a curated record
CGAACACAGAAAGGAAUGACUUGCAAAACAUGCCAAUGCUGGGCCUGUAGUUCUGAAAUAGAGGCAAGUCUAACACCAGAGAUGAUCAAGCCAAGCACAGAGAUUGGAAGAGCA